This 335-nucleotide non-coding RNA is filed under the name Zea mays. Lineage: Eukaryota; Viridiplantae; Streptophyta; Magnoliopsida; Poales; Poaceae. The record is from RNAcentral.
GUUGGCUGAGAGAGUGCGAUGUUGGCACGGUUCAAUCAAAUCGCCGGCCGGGUUGACUUGUUGAUUGAGCCGUGCCAAUAUCACAACCUUCUCUAGCCUAGGCGGCCGGGCUACAGUUUUGGAUGCUACUAUGCUUCCUCAAGUUGUAGGAAAUCAAGGUGCUUCUAUCCCUGGCCGGACAUAUAAUAAUAGUAUAGUAGCAUACUAUAUAUAUCGAGAUAGACAAGGACAACAUAUAUCGAGGUAGGCAAGGACAGCAUGAGAGCAUGUUUCACAUGUGCUAUUUUAUAAUGUUACUGUAUUAAUAUCAUUUAUGUAUGUGCGGGCACUGGCAA